AAAGCUCAAGCCAUUUGCACUGGGAGAGAAGCCAGCCAGAAGUUUUGCUGGCAAUGGUUUGGUUUCUAGAACAGCAUCAAAACUUGUCUCCCAUGUUUUGUAAGGUGGUUUAACCCACAAGAUAUCACGCAUUUGAAACUUUUAAGAAGAAACUUAAUUUCAUCUGUGAAUGCAGAAGCAAAUAUGAGGGCAUGGGCAUUUAAAUAUGAAGUAUUUCUUGAAAGCCACCUACUGGAGAGUAAGUUUGGUGCAAUAAUUUAAGAAAAGAUAAAAAAGAAACAGGAAAAUUGGGACAACGGACAGCAUGAUGGAGCCACCGUGCAAGCCCUCAAUAGUCUGCCUCCAGGUUGUGUCAAAUAAAGUAAAAAGAACAAAA
RNAcentral lists this long non-coding RNA (376 nucleotides) under Homo sapiens (human). Its description in RNAcentral is "non-protein coding lnc-IL7R-1:3". The record is from RNAcentral. Lineage: Eukaryota; Metazoa; Chordata; Mammalia; Primates; Hominidae.